This 2357-nucleotide ribosomal RNA is filed under the name Klebsiella michiganensis. Its description in RNAcentral is "partial 23S ribosomal RNA". It matches the Rfam family "Bacterial large subunit ribosomal RNA", at positions 591 to 2925 of the family's 2925-position model. The record is from RNAcentral. Lineage: Bacteria; Pseudomonadati; Pseudomonadota; Gammaproteobacteria; Enterobacterales; Enterobacteriaceae.
GGGUGACUGCGUACCUUUUGUAUAAUGGGUCAGCGACUUAUAUUCUGUAGCAAGGUUAACCGUAUAGGGGAGCCGCAGGGAAACCGAGUCUUAACUGGGCGUUAAGUUGCAGGGUAUAGACCCGAAACCCGGUGAUCUAGCCAUGGGCAGGUUGAAGGUUGGGUAACACUAACUGGAGGACCGAACCGACUAAUGUUGAAAAAUUAGCGGAUGACUUGUGGCUGGGGGUGAAAGGCCAAUCAAACCGGGAGAUAGCUGGUUCUCCCCGAAAGCUAUUUAGGUAGCGCCUCGUGAACUCAUCUUCGGGGGUAGAGCACUGUUUCGGCUAGGGGGUCAUCCCGACUUACCAACCCGAUGCAAACUACGAAUACCGAAGAAUGUUAUCACGGGAGACACACGGCGGGUGCUAACGUCCGUCGUGAAGAGGGAAACAACCCAGACCGCCAGCUAAGGUCCCAAAGUCAUGGUUAAGUGGGAAACGAUGUGGGAAGGCCCAGACAGCCAGGAUGUUGGCUUAGAAGCAGCCAUCAUUUAAAGAAAGCGUAAUAGCUCACUGGUCGAGUCGGCCUGCGCGGAAGAUGUAACGGGGCUAAACCAUGCACCGAAGCUGCGGCAGCGACACUAUGUGUUGUUGGGUAGGGGAGCGUUCUGUAAGCCGUUGAAGGUGGCCUGUGAGGGUUGCUGGAGGUAUCAGAAGUGCGAAUGCUGACAUAAGUAACGAUAAUGCGGGUGAAAAACCCGCACGCCGGAAGACCAAGGGUUCCUGUCCAACGUUAAUCGGGGCAGGGUGAGUCGACCCCUAAGGCGAGGCCGAAAGGCGUAGUCGAUGGGAAACAGGUUAAUAUUCCUGUACUCGGUGUUACUGCGAAGGGGGGACGGAGAAGGCUAUGUUGGCCGGGCGACGGUUGUCCCGGUUUAAGCAUGUAGGCGGAUGUUCCAGGUAAAUCCGGAACGUUACUAACGCUGAGGUGUGAUGACGAGGCACUACGGUGCUGAAGUGACAAAUGCCCUGCUUCCAGGAAAAGCCUCUAAGCAUCAGGUAACAUCAAAUCGUACCCCAAACCGACACAGGUGGUCAGGUAGAGAAUACCAAGGCGCUUGAGAGAACUCGGGUGAAGGAACUAGGCAAAAUGGUGCCGUAACUUCGGGAGAAGGCACGCUGAUGGUAGGUGAAGCGACUUGCUCGUGGAGCUGAAAUCAGUCGAAGAUACCAGCUGGCUGCAACUGUUUAUUAAAAACACAGCACUGUGCAAACACGAAAGUGGACGUAUACGGUGUGACGCCUGCCCGGUGCCGGAAGGUUAAUUGAUGGGGUUAUCCGUAAGGAGAAGCUCUUGAUCGAAGCCCCGGUAAACGGCGGCCGUAACUAUAACGGUCCUAAGGUAGCGAAAUUCCUUGUCGGGUAAGUUCCGACCUGCACGAAUGGCGUAAUGAUGGCCAGGCUGUCUCCACCCGAGACUCAGUGAAAUUGAACUCGCUGUGAAGAUGCAGUGUACCCGCGGCAAGACGGAAAGACCCCGUGAACCUUUACUAUAGCUUGACACUGAACACUGGUCCUUGAUGUGUAGGAUAGGUGGGAGGCUUUGAAGUGUGGACGCCAGUCUGCAUGGAGCCAUCCUUGAAAUACCACCCUUUAAUGGCUGGUGUUCUAACGUGGGCCCCUGAUCGGGGUUGCGGACAGUGUCUGGUGGGUAGUUUGACUGGGGCGGUCUCCUCCUAAAGAGUAACGGAGGAGCACGAAGGUCAGCUAAUCCUGGUCGGACAUCAGGAGGUUAGUGCAAUGGCAUAAGCUGGCUUGACUGCGAGCGUGACGGCGCGAGCAGGUGCGAAAGCAGGUCAUAGUGAUCCGGUGGUUCUGAAUGGAAGGGCCAUCGCUCAACGGAUAAAAGGUACUCCGGGGAUAACAGGCUGAUACCGCCCAAGAGUUCAUAUCGACGGCGGUGUUUGGCACCUCGAUGUCGGCUCAUCACAUCCUGGGGCUGAAGUAGGUCCCAAGGGUAUGGCUGUUCGCCAUUUAAAGUGGUACGCGAGCUGGGUUUAGAACGUCGUGAGACAGUUCGGUCCCUAUCUGCCGUGGGCGCUGGAGAAUUGAGGGGGGCUGCUCCUAGUACGAGAGGACCGGAGUGGACGCAUCACUGGUGUUCGGGUUGUCAUGCCAAUGGCAUUGCCCGGUAGCUAAAUGCGGAAGAGAUAAGUGCUGAAAGCAUCUAAGCACGAAACUUGCCCCGAGAUGAGUUCUCCCUGACCCUUUAAGGGUCCUGAAGGAACGUUGAAGACGACGACGUUGAUAGGCCGGGUGUGUAAGCGCAGCGAUGCGUUGAGCUAACCGGUACUAAUGAACCGUGAGGCUUAACCUU